CGAUUAGAGUUGAUCCUGGCUCAGAACGAACGCUGGCGGCGUACUUAACACAUGCAAGUCGCACGAGAAAGGGGCUUCGGCCCCUGAGUACAGUGGCGCACGGGUGCGUAACACGUAAGUAAUCUACCCCGAACACUGGGAUAACUCCCCGAAAGGGGGGCUAAUACUGGAUAGGGUCCCCGAGGUCUAAGCUGCGGGGGGAAAGCGGGCCUCUGUUUCAUGCUCGCGGUUCAGGAUGAGCUUGCGGCCCAUUAGCUAGUUGGUAGGGUAAUGGCCUACCAAGGCGACGAUGGGUAGCUGGUCUGAGAGGAUGAUCAGCCACACUGGCACUGAGACACGGGCCAGACUCCUACGGGAGGCAGCAGUGGGGAAUUUUGCGCAAUGGGCGAAAGCCUGACGCAGUAACGCCGCGUGGAGGAUGAAGGCCUUCGGGUUGUAAACUCCUGUCAGGAGGAACGACGGAGAGGGGGUGAUAAGCCCUCUCUUCCAGACGGUACCUCCAAAGGAAGCCCCGGCUAAUUCC
Molecule: ribosomal RNA, 523 nt
Filed under: uncultured bacterium
Lineage: Bacteria
Description: bacterial SSU rRNA
Rfam family: Bacterial small subunit ribosomal RNA
Source: RNAcentral